This 194-nucleotide ribosomal RNA is filed under the name uncultured Actinomycetales bacterium. Its description in RNAcentral is "partial 16S ribosomal RNA". It matches the Rfam family "Bacterial small subunit ribosomal RNA", at positions 138 to 334 of the family's 1533-position model. Lineage: Bacteria; Bacillati; Actinomycetota; Actinomycetes; Actinomycetales. The record is from RNAcentral.
UCGGGAUAAGCCUGGGAAACGUGGGUCUAAUACCGGAUAGGAGCCAUUUUUAGUGUGAUGGUUGGAAAGUUUUUUCGGUGUAGGAUGAGCUCGCGGCCUAUCAGCUUGUUGGUGGGGUAAUGGCCUACCAAGGCGGCGACGGGUAGCCGGCCUGAGAGGGUGGACGGCCACAUUGGGACUGAGAUACGGCCCAG